CUGCUUGCUGCUUCCUUCGCAUCUCCUCCUCGAUGUUCACAUCAUGCAAAGUAGUCUCCUCACAUUCAUCCAAUUCCAUUUCAGACACUUCCAUUUUGGGUUUUGGCGGCAGCACCGCUUCAAGGUUCUUGCACUGCUCUGGGGUUAAUGACUCGGGGAAAUCAACAGUGAAAUGAAUGUACAGUUUCCCUCUCAUAAAAGGCCUUUGGUACAUUGGCAUUCCUUCAUCAUUGAUAGCCUUAAACUGGUCUGCAGAACCAACAAAAAUUGUGAUCAGUCAGUAUCCACAAGAUAUUUUCAGAACCACAGCCUAUCCAUCAGAAAUCAAAAAGUGAACCACAACCAAAUUUAGCCAAGGGCAGGAGACAGACAGAGCAUAAACACACACAUGCACACAUGUGCAGAGAAUGAGAGAGAGGCUUAAAUACACAUGACUCCAUGAAUCUAAAUAGUUGCAUAAGAACCUGAGAAGAAAAGGUUCUUAUAUUUGCCAUUAUCACCCUCAGUAAAUAUUUGAGGGGUAAUGCUAAAAGAUUGGCACUGGCCAGGGGAUAAACUGAUGAAGCAGCCUAUUAUGGGAGACUCCAAGUGCAUUACACAUGAUUCUUUGACAGUCAUUAGGGGCUAUCGGGCCUACCAGGCUUGACAACUUCGCCAGGCUGGGACUUGAUCAGCAGCUGUCUGUUGUCUAGGUGAGUCAAGAUGAACUGGAAACCACAUAGGGCCUCAGUCAAGGUCAACGUGUGCUCAACAAAAAGAUCAUCUCCCUUUCGCUUGAACUUAGGAUGUUCCUUCUGUUGCAAGAUAAAAACUAUGUCCCCAGUAAUAGUUUCCGGCUGCAAAAGCACAAAUCAAGGAAAUCAUGUCAAGAUUCAGUUAUUAUAAGCAAAUUAUUUCAAAAAUGUGACUGCAUAUCUUACUGCUUCGUCUGCCUCGCCUGGGAAUGUUAUCUUCUGCCCAUUCUGCAUACCUUUCUCCACGUGAACUUCCAACACCUUCUUCUCCUGCACAACCUUCUCUCCCUUACACUGUGGGCACCUAUCUUUGUCAUUAAUUGUCUCACCAGUACCCUUACACUCAUUGCAAGGGUGCUGCAUCUGCUGGAUCAUAGAUGGACCAAGCUGUCUAAUAGAAACUUUCAUCCCAGACCCUUGACAGCCAGAACACUUCAUUGAAACACCUGACUUAGACCCUUUACUGGAAAUGACAAUAUAGCACCAUCAUGAAUGCAAGACAUAGUGAAAAAUACUCACCCCUGACACACACUACAAUGACUCCAUAAAUAAAUGAAAAAUGAAGUUGAAACAUAACUAAUCAAGCUAUACACUCACCCCUUGCACUUUGUGCACAACACAUUGCGAGAUAGUGAAAGCUUCUUUGAUGUCCCAUUGUAAACAUCCUCCAACGAAACCUUGAGAGGGUGGACAACAUCCUCUCCUUUUCUUUGUCUUCUACCUCUGCUGCUUCCACCACCUGAACAUCAGAAAAAUUUAAGAUAAACUAAUUGCACAAACGUGAAAACAAAAAAAGUAAAUUCAACUUCAACAUGUGCUUAACAUACCACCAAAGGGGCUUCCACCACCAAAGAAUGAUUGGAAUAUGUCAAAUGGGUCGUGUCCACCACCUCCACCACCCAUUCCUUCCUUGAGAGCGUCCUCACCAUACUGAUCAUAUAUCUCACGCUUCUCCGGGUCACUUAAAACCUCAUAAGCUUGGGCAAGCUCUUUAAACUGAAAGAAUCAAAGAACCCAAAUAAUGCAUCAACUAACAAUAAGAACCUAAUAAGCUCAGGCAAGCUCCUUAAACUAAAAGAACCAAAGGACAAAACUGAUUCAUCAAGA
RNAcentral lists this long non-coding RNA (1841 nucleotides) under Nicotiana tabacum (common tobacco). RNAcentral describes it as "long non-coding RNA (NTAB_LNC013553)". Lineage: Eukaryota; Viridiplantae; Streptophyta; Magnoliopsida; Solanales; Solanaceae. The record is from RNAcentral.